Molecule: ribosomal RNA, 1010 nt
Filed under: uncultured Methanosaeta sp.
Lineage: Archaea; Methanobacteriati; Methanobacteriota; Methanomicrobia; Methanotrichales; Methanotrichaceae
Description: bacterial SSU rRNA
Rfam family: Archaeal small subunit ribosomal RNA
Source: RNAcentral
GUUACUGCUAUCGAGGUUCGACUAAGCCAUGCGAGUCGAAUGUAGCAAUACAUGGCGUACUACUCAGUAACACGUGGAUAACCUACCCUUGAGGCGGGGAUAAACCCGGGAAACUGGGUAUAAUACCCGAUAGAUCUCGACUGCUGGAAUGCAUCGAGCUCCAAAGCUCCGGCGCUCAAGGAUGGGUCUGCGGCCUAUCAGGUAGUAGUGGGUGUAGCGUACCUACUAGCCUACGACGGGUACGGGUUGUGAGAGCAAGAGCCCGGAGAUGGAUUCUGAGACACGAAUCCAGGCCCUACGGGGUGCAGCAGGCGCGAAAACUUUACAAUGCUGGAAACAGCGAUAAGGGGACCUCGAGUGCCAGGUUACAAAUCUGGCUGUCGUGAUGCCUAAAAAGCAUUGCAUAGCAAGGGCCGGGCAAGACCGGUGCCAGCCGCCGCGGUAACACCGGCGGCUCGAGUGGUAACCGUUAUUAUUGGGUCUAAAGGGUCUGUAGCCGGCCGGAUAAGUCUCUUGGGAAAUCUGGCAGCUUAACUGUCAGGCUUUCAGGAGAUACUGUCUGGCUCGAGGCCGGGAGAGGUGAGAGGUACUUCAGGGGUAGGGGUGAAAUCUUGUAAUCCUUGAAGGACCACCAGUGGCGAAGGCGUCUCACCAGAACGGACCUGACGGCAAGGGACGAAAGCUAGGGGCACGAACCGGAUUAGAUACCCGGGUAGUCCUAGCCGUAAACGAUACUCGCUAGGUGUCGGCAACGGUGCGACCGUUGUCGGUGCCGUAGGGAAGCCGUGAAGCGAGCCACCUGGGAAGUACGGCCGCAAGGCUGAAACUUAAAGGAAUUGGCGGGGGAGCACCACAACGGGUGGAGCUUGCGGUUUAAUUGGAUUCAACGCCGGAAAUCUUACCGGGACCGACAGCAAUAUGAAGGCCAGGCUGAAGACUUUGCCGGAUUAGCUGAGAGGUGGUGCAUGGCCGUCGUCAGUUCGUACUGUGAAGCAUCCUGUUAAGUCAGG